GAUGUAGCUCAGUGGUAGAGCAUUUGUCUAACACGAGCAAGGCCUAGGUUCAAUUCCCAGUAUC
RNAcentral lists this transfer RNA (64 nucleotides) under Neotoma lepida (desert woodrat). It matches the Rfam family "tRNA". From Rfam's summary of the family: Transfer RNA (tRNA) molecules are approximately 80 nucleotides in length. Their secondary structure includes four short double-helical elements and three loops (D, anti-codon, and T loops). Lineage: Eukaryota; Metazoa; Chordata; Mammalia; Rodentia; Cricetidae. The record is from Rfam by way of RNAcentral.